GCAGUCGAGCGGAAACGAUGAUAGCUUGCUAUCAGGCGUCGAGCGGCGGACGGGUGAGUAAUACUUAGGAAUCUACCUAGUAGUGGGGGAUAGCUCGGGGAAACUCGAAUUAAUACCGCAUACGUCCUACGGGAGAAAGCAGGGGAUCAUUAGACCUUGCGCUAUUAGAUGAGCCUAAGUCGGAUUAGCUAGAUGGUGGGGUAAAGGCCUACCAUGGCGACGAUCUGUAGCUGGUCUGAGAGGAUGAUCAGCCACACCGGGACUGAGACACGGCCCGGACUCCUACGGGAGGCAGCAGUGGGGAAUAUUGGACAAUGGGGGGAACCCUGAUCCAGCCAUGCCGCGUGUGUGAAGAAGGCCUUUUGGUUGUAAAGCACUUUAAGCAGUGAAGAAGACUCUUCGGUUAAUACCCGGGGACGAUGACAUUAGCUGCAGAAUAAGCACCGGCUAACUCUGUGCCAGCAGCCGCGGUAAUACAGAGGGUGCAAGCGUUAAUCGGAAUUACUGGGCGUAAAGCGAGCGUAGGUGGCUUGAUAAGUCAGAUGUGAAAUCCCCGGGCUUAACCUGGGAACUGCAUCUGAAACUGUUAGGCUAGAGUAGGUGAGAGGGAAGUAGAAUUUCAGGUGUAGCGGUGAAAUGCGUAGAGAUCUGAAGGAAUACCGAUGGCGAAGGCAGCUUCCUGGCAUCAUACUGACACUGAGGCUCGAAAGCGUGGGUAGCAAACAGGAUUAGAUACCCUGGUAGUCCACGCCGUAAACGAUGUCUACUAGUCGUUGGGUCCCUUGAGGACUUAGUGACGCAGCU
RNAcentral lists this ribosomal RNA (804 nucleotides) under Psychrobacter sp. 11.5.053CC7. RNAcentral describes it as "bacterial SSU rRNA". It matches the Rfam family "Bacterial small subunit ribosomal RNA", at positions 57 to 853 of the family's 1533-position model. Lineage: Bacteria; Pseudomonadati; Pseudomonadota; Gammaproteobacteria; Moraxellales; Moraxellaceae. The record is from RNAcentral.